GGUGGUGGUGGAUGGCCCAGUGGCGGUGGUGGAUGGAGCAGCGGCGGUGGUGGUGGUGGCUGGUGGUAAAAGACACCGAACGAUUCCUCGGAUAAUUAGAAGGGAAUUUGCUCACCGAUCACCAGUGCACAUCUUGGCUGUAAUUACCGAUUGUCGGUUCACGAAGAGACCCUGACCCCCUGGUACCAUCUUCGACAGAGAUCAUCCUCAAAGAAUAGAACAGAACAGAAGUGAAGAACGUGACAGAUAACAUCGUCAACGAGGACCAAUGGAAAGAAGAAACGGAAGAACAAUGAAAUCUACAACACCGAUUUCCGAGAUUCUUCUUCUUCUUUCGUCAAAUCGACACGAAGCACCGGAUGGGUCGUGGGUUACUCUUCGACGAAAGUAUUUAGAAAAUAAUAUCGUAGAUUGUAAUUUUUUCACACCGUGUAUACGAUAAAUUCAAUUUCACGUAACAACGCGAAUAAAAUGAUAAAAAGUCUCCCCAAAAAAAUGCAAAUAUUGUAAAAAGAGGAACGAUCGCGUUGGGUAGGAUAUUUUUUGUACUACUUUUCGUAUAAAGCAUUUUCGAACAACGAGCAACAAUUAAAACUCAUUCACACACAAAA
Osmia lignaria (orchard mason bee) is the source of this 611-nucleotide long non-coding RNA. RefSeq lists it as uncharacterized. NCBI's taxonomy places the organism in Eukaryota, Metazoa, Arthropoda, Insecta, Hymenoptera, Megachilidae. The record is from RefSeq and is a predicted model, not a curated record.